UACGUAGGGUGCAAGCGUUGUCCGGAAUUAUUGGGCGUAAAGAGCUCGUAGGCGGUUUGUCGCGUCUGCUGUGAAAACUCAGGGCUUAACUCUGAGCUUGCAGUGGGUACGGGCAGACUAGAGUGCGGUAGGGGAGACUGGAAUUCCUGGUGUAGCGGUGAAAUGCGCAGAUAUCAGGAGGAACACCCAUGGCGAAGGCAGCAUACUGGCCGGCAUCUGACGCUGAGGCGCGAAAGCGUGGGUAGCAAACAGG
This 253-nucleotide ribosomal RNA is filed under the name uncultured bacterium. Its description in RNAcentral is "partial 16S ribosomal RNA". It matches the Rfam family "Bacterial small subunit ribosomal RNA", at positions 524 to 776 of the family's 1533-position model. The record is from RNAcentral.